Molecule: ribosomal RNA, 434 nt
Filed under: uncultured Lachnospiraceae bacterium
Lineage: Bacteria; Bacillati; Bacillota; Clostridia; Lachnospirales; Lachnospiraceae
Description: bacterial SSU rRNA
Rfam family: Bacterial small subunit ribosomal RNA
Source: RNAcentral
ACGGAAGGCAGCAGUGGGGAAUAUUGCACAAUGGGGGAAACCCUGAUGCAGCGACGCCGCGUGAGCGAAGAAGUAUUUCGGUAUGUAAAGCUCUAUCAGCAGGGAAGAAAAUGACGGUACCUGACUAAGAAGCUCCGGCUAAAUACGUGCCAGCAGCCGCGGUAAUACGUAUGGAGCAAGCGUUAUCCGGAUUUACUGGGUGUAAAGGGAGCGCAGGCGGUGUGGCAAGUCUGAAGUGAAAGCCCGUGGCUCAACCGCGGGACUGCUUUGGAAACUGUCAUACUAGAGUAUCAGAGGGGCAAGUGGAAUUCCUAGUGUAGCGGUGAAAUGCGUAGAUAUUAGGAGGAACACCAGUGGCGAAGGCGGCUUGCUGGAUGAUAACUGACGCUGAGGCUCGAAAGCGUGGGGAGCAAACAGGAUUAGAUACCCUGGUA